This 464-nucleotide ribosomal RNA is filed under the name uncultured bacterium. Its description in RNAcentral is "bacterial SSU rRNA". It matches the Rfam family "Bacterial small subunit ribosomal RNA", at positions 355 to 822 of the family's 1533-position model. The record is from RNAcentral.
UAGGGAAUAUUGGACAAUGGGUGAGAGCCUGAUCCAGCCAUGCCGCGUGCAGGAAGAAGGCGUUAUGCGUUGUAAACUGCUUUUUGCCAGGGGAUAAAAUGACCGUGCGCGGUUAAUUGAAGGUACCUGGUGAAUAAGCCACGGCUAACUACGUGCCAGCAGCCGCGGUAAUACGUAGGUGGCAAGCGUUGUCCGGAUUUAUUGGGUUUAAAGGGUGCGUAGGUGGUCCUGUAAGUCAGUGGUGAAAUAUCUCAGCUUAACUGAGAGGGUGCCAUUGAUACUGCAGGGCUUGAGUACAGAUGAGGUAGGCGGAAUUGACGGUGUAGCGGUGAAAUGCAUAGAUAUCGUCAAGAACACCGAUAGCGAAGGCAGCUUACCAAGCUGUAACUGACACUGAGGCACGAAAGUGUGGGGAUCAAACAGGAUUAGAUACCCAAGUAGUCCCUGAGCGGGCUGGCAAGGCG